UACGUAGGGAGCAAGCGUUGUCCGGAAUCAUUGGGCGUAAAGCGCGCGUAGGCGGCCCUGUAAGUCCGUUGUGAAAGUCAAAGGCUCAACCUUUGAAAGCCGGUGGAUACUGUGGGGCUAGAGUACGGAAGAGGCGAGUGGAAUUCUCGGUGUAGCGGUGAAAUGCGUAGAUAUCGAGAGGAACACCUGCGGCGAAGGCGGGUUGCUGGGCUGACACUGACGCUGAUGCGCGAAAGCUAGGGGAGCGAACGGG
This 253-nucleotide ribosomal RNA is filed under the name uncultured bacterium. RNAcentral's name for it is "partial 16S ribosomal RNA". It matches the Rfam family "Bacterial small subunit ribosomal RNA", at positions 524 to 776 of the family's 1533-position model. The record is from RNAcentral.